Long non-coding RNA from Cucurbita moschata (crookneck pumpkin), 148 nucleotides. RefSeq lists it as uncharacterized. The transcript has 3 exons. NCBI's taxonomy places the organism in Eukaryota, Viridiplantae, Streptophyta, Magnoliopsida, Cucurbitales, Cucurbitaceae. The record is from RefSeq and is a predicted model, not a curated record.
CCGAUGUAGGAACUCACAAUCCACCCCCAUAGAGGCCAGCAUCCUCGCUAGCACACCACUCGAUGUCUGGCUCUGAUUCCAUUUGUAACGUCUCAAGCCCAUCAUUAGCAGAUAUUGUCUACUUUGACCUAUUAUUGUAAAGUCUCAA